Molecule: ribosomal RNA, 374 nt
Filed under: uncultured organism
Description: partial 16S ribosomal RNA
Rfam family: Bacterial small subunit ribosomal RNA
Source: RNAcentral
GAACCGUCCAAACGUUUAUUCGGAAUUACUGGGCUUAAAGGGUUUGUAGGCGGCCAUGUAAGUGGGGUGUGAAAUCCCUCGGCUCAACCGAGGAAUAGCGCUCCAAACUGCAUGGCUUGAGGGAGACAGGGGUUAGCGGAACUGAUGGUGGAGCGGUGAAAUGCGUUGAUAUCAUCAGGAACACCGGUGGCGAAAGCGGCUAACUGGGUCUCUUCUGACGCUGAGAAACGAAAGCUAGGGUAGCGAACGGGAUUAGAUACCCCGGGUAGUCCUAGCUGUAAACGAUGAGCACUUGGUUGGGGAUCCCUCCCCAUAGGUUCUCGACCGUAGCGAAAGUGUUAAGUGCUCCGCCUGGGGAGUAUGUCGCAAGGCUG